GAGAGUUAAACAGUACGUGAAAUUGUUGAAAGGGAAACGAUUAAAGUCAGUCGUACCUACGAGUAAUCAACCUACACGAGCGCGAUUUUGUGGGUAUGAAGAGGUAAAACCUUCAUGCUUUCAAAUUGGUGUUCUUUGGGCGUACUUUCUCGUAUGGUAGGUUAACAUCAAUUUCGAUCGUUAUAAAAUGACGGGAGGAAUGUAGCUUCGAUUUCGGUUGAAGUGUUAUAGCCUCUGGUAGAUGUAAUGAUUGGGAUUGAGGAUUGCAACGGAUACCCUCUGGGCUAUUCGUCUGAUCUCUGGAAGUUACCUUGGUGUCGAAAGCGUGCUUAUGACAUUAAGAAUGACGGUCAAAAGGUUAGAACGGAAUUAAAUUCGUUAAGGAUGUUGACGUAAUGGCUUUAAACGA
Molecule: ribosomal RNA, 409 nt
Filed under: uncultured Rhizophagus
Lineage: Eukaryota; Fungi; Glomeromycota; Glomeromycetes; Glomerales; Glomeraceae
Description: partial 28S ribosomal RNA
Source: RNAcentral